Molecule: ribosomal RNA, 493 nt
Filed under: uncultured bacterium
Lineage: Bacteria
Description: partial 16S ribosomal RNA
Rfam family: Bacterial small subunit ribosomal RNA
Source: RNAcentral
AUGAACGCUGGCGGCGUGCCUAAUACAUGCAAGUCGAGCGAACGGACGAGAAGCUUGCUUCUCUGAUGUUAGCGGCGGACGGGUGAGUAACACGUGGAUAACCUACCUAUAAGACUGGGAUAACUUCGGGAAACCGGAGCUAAUACCGGAUAAUAUUUUGAACCGCAUGGUUCAAAAGUGAAAGACGGUCUUGCUGUCACUUAUAGAUGGAUCCGCGCUGCAUUAGCUAGUUGGUAAGGUAACGGCUUACCAAGGCAACGAUGCAUAGCCGACCUGAGAGGGUGAUCGGCCACACUGGAACUGAGACACGGUCCAGACUCCUACGGGAGGCAGCAGUAGGGAAUCUUCCGCAAUGGGCGAAAGCCUGACGGAGCAACGCCGCGUGAGUGAUGAAGGUCUUCGGAUCGUAAAACUCUGUUAUUAGGGAAGAACAUAUGUGUAAGUAACUGUGCACAUCUUGACGGUACCUAAUCAGAAAGCCACGGCUAACUAC